Molecule: non-coding RNA, 31 nt
Filed under: Homo sapiens (human)
Lineage: Eukaryota; Metazoa; Chordata; Mammalia; Primates; Hominidae
Source: RNAcentral
UGCGAGGGUUCCAGUUUCUCCACAUCUCCAC